This 497-nucleotide ribosomal RNA is filed under the name uncultured bacterium. Its description in RNAcentral is "partial 16S ribosomal RNA". It matches the Rfam family "Bacterial small subunit ribosomal RNA", at positions 28 to 507 of the family's 1533-position model. The record is from RNAcentral.
GAUGAACGCUGGCGGCGUGCCUAAUACAUGCAAGUCGAGCGAACGGACGAGAAGCUUGCUUCUCUGAUGUUAGCGGCGGACGGGUGAGUAACACGUGGAUAACCUACCUAUAAGACUGGGAUAACUUCGGGAAACCGGAGCUAAUACCGGAUAAUAUUUUGAACCGCAUGGUUCAAAAGUGAAGGACGGUCUUGCUGUCACUUAUAGAUGGAUCCACGCUGCAUUAGCUAGUUGGUAAGGUAACGGCUUACCAAGGCAACGAUGCAUAGCCGACCUGAGAGGGUGAUCGGCCACACUGGAACUGAGACACGGUCCAGACUCCUACGGGAGGCAGCAGUAGGGAAUCUUCCGCAAUGGGCGAAAGCCUGACGGAGCAACGCCGCGUGAGUGAUGAAGGUCUUCGGAUCGUAAAACUCUGUUAUUAGGGAAGAACAUAUGUGUAAGUAACUGUGCACAUCUUGACGGUACCUAAUCAGAAAGCCACGGCUAACUACGUG